CGUUCCUCUUGUGGACACUCGCGGAUUUAACGAAUUAUCAAAACAAAUCCGAUUCUUAACGAAUUGCACACGACAUGUGUACUCUACUCCAUUUAGAUUCUGCCACACCGUUUAUUGUAAUUUUUACAUGGCCUUAUACUCUAUGGUGCUAUACAUCAAACACAGUAAACACGCCGACGUUUCAUAGCAGGCUGAGAUUGUGCGACUGCUGCGAUCGAUCGCGAGAGUCAGAAACACGAGCGAUGUAUACCUAUAUGCAGCGUAGAGACAAGACUCCUUGUCGACACCAUUAUGUUACAAAUGAAAGAAUAUUUCCGAACAAUAGUUUCGUUCCUUUCAACAGGAGGUGAAACGGAAAUCCAUUGAACAGAUCGAUAAACAAAGUUUUUAAAAUAUGAAACUUUGUGGUAGACGGUGCUGCCACGAGUACUUUCAAAUCGAUAGCGCGGGAGACAUUUUCACAAGAUUAUCGAUUAUAUGCUUAUUUUGUGAAAAUAUAAAACUUCGAUUAACAAUUUUGCAAAGUUGUCACGUGCAUUUUGUAUUUUAUAUAAUUUAAUUGUAUCAAAUUCGUACAAGCAUGGUAUAAUAUAUCUUGAAUAAUUAUUCGGUAUAUAUUAUAUAUAUGUCUAUGUUUAUAAACCAUGUUUAUUGAAUCGUUAAAAAAAUUGAAUCACGUUUUAUAAAACUAUUUUUACUAUAUCUAUUCGGUAUUGAAUAGCAUAACAAUAUGAAUAAUUCGUGAAAUAUAAAAUGUUUAUUUUCGAGUGAAAGUUUACAACUUUGCAUCAACAACUUCUAUUAUCAUUAUUGUAUUAUAUAAACGUUCAUAUUUACAACAUAUAUUAAAAAAUCAUAAUAUUAUGUAAUUUGUUGGAUUCAAUAAUAUUUGACACUUGUUAAUUCUUUUUGAUACAUUCUACAUUUCGUCAUUUGUACCUGAGUGGACUACUUUCUUUUUGUCUGCUGUACAUUUUUCUAUUUGUCGUUCUUAAGCUAGAAGUUUCAAUUAUUUAGGAUUUCACUCGAAUACAUAGCACCAUAUAGACUGUUAAAUAAACAAAGUAACCAUUCAUAAUUUUGAAUUAUGUUUUAAUUGGAAAUUACUGAUAAAAUACUUGAAAUGAAAUCUUAUUUGUACGAAAAUAUACAGAACGAUAACAGUAGUUAUCGAAAUAAUAUGUAAAUACAUUUGUUAAUCAAACUCUAUUUUAUAUUUAUAUUUGCUUUCCACAUUUUAUGCUUUCGAUAAACUGUCCAUAAAAAAUAUCGUUUUUACUGAUUGAAAAUUAAUUAUAAU
This 1300-nucleotide unclassified non-coding RNA is filed under the name Bombus terrestris (buff-tailed bumblebee). RNAcentral describes it as "misc RNA ENSBTSG00005038680.1". The record is from RNAcentral. Lineage: Eukaryota; Metazoa; Arthropoda; Insecta; Hymenoptera; Apidae.